UACGGAGGGCGCUAGCGUUGUUCGGAAUUACUGGGCGUAAAGCGCACGUAGGCGGCUUUGUAAGUUAGAGGUGAAAGCCCGGGGCUCAACUCCGGAACUGCCUUUAAGACUGCAUCGCUUGAAUCCAGGAGAGGUGAGUGGAAUUCCGAGUGUAGAGGUGAAAUUCGUAGAUAUUCGGAAGAACACCAGUGGCGAAGGCGGCUCACUGGACUGGUAUUGACGCUGAGGUGCGAAAGCGUGGGGAGCAAACAGG
RNAcentral lists this ribosomal RNA (253 nucleotides) under uncultured bacterium. Its description in RNAcentral is "partial 16S ribosomal RNA". It matches the Rfam family "Bacterial small subunit ribosomal RNA", at positions 524 to 776 of the family's 1533-position model. The record is from RNAcentral.